Molecule: non-coding RNA, 1750 nt
Organism: Pelobates cultripes (western spadefoot toad)
Lineage: Eukaryota; Metazoa; Chordata; Amphibia; Anura; Pelobatidae
Source: the annotation of a GenBank genome assembly
CGGACCGGCGCGGAGGAGGAGGGAGCUGGCAGGAGCUGCAGGAGAGGUAAGUAACAGCUCUGCCAGCCCCCAGUCUGUAUUAUGGCAAUGUAAAUUGCCAUAAUACAGACAGUGACUCGAGUAUAAGCCGAGUUGGGGUUUUUCAGCACAAAAAAUGUGCUGAAAAACUCGGCUUAUACUCGAGUAUAUACGGUAAAUCAAAUCUUACUGACUUGUGACUUAAAUCAAAUAUAAAAUCAAAACAAAGUCAAACAAUUUCAAAUCCGAUAAAGUAGCAUUAUCUGCUUUUUGUGUUUUGAAAUUAGUUGGUUUGUUUUGAUUUUAUUGUUUUAUAAUUUUAUGCUUUUAACAUAAUUGGGUGUCUGAGGAAGUCCAACAGUUGAACGAAUCGCGGAGGACCAACCAUUUUAUGUUUAUAUAAAUAAAUAGGAAUUUAUUUUGGAAACUUGAGUCCUGCUUGCCAAUAUUGUCAUGGAGAUUCCAGCCGGGAGCUAAGGGGACAUGAAAAAUCCCUUCAAGUAUCUAAAUGGAGGCACCCAGAGGCGAAAUACGCACCGUGCAUUCUGAGUGAAUUUUCCUGAGCGCAGUGUCACUUCCGUAUCCACUAUAUUAUGCUAUGGGCAUGUCUUAUUUUUUUUGUAGACUUACAGCUGCAUCCUCUAAAUACUGUUUUGUUUGAUUUAAACCAGGUCUACCUUGCUGCUGCCCUUUAAUGCACAGUGCACAAAGGGAAAAAUCUAUAUGGGAGUUUUGUUAUAAAAUGAAAUUAUUAUUGAAAAGACCAAAAAGCAUGUGCCAUCUUAACAUUGGUUUGUUCCAUUUUAUCAGAAGAGAUUGUUACAUUCCAGUACAUGUUUCCAAGGCAAAGUUAACACUUCCUAAUACAACUGCUGGUGCAUUGGAUGGUAUUCUUUCGCAGGGCCGGGUUACCAACCCUAAAACCUGGUCAUAACAAGGCAGACACAUUCCACUGCAUGACAUUGUAAAGACAGAACCAACCCAAUUAAUUACCUAUCCAGAGCAGAGAGCCUCAGCCAGAAACCCUUACUGAUCUUUAAUGAGCAGGGAUCAAAUCAAUGUAUGUUUUAUGAUAAUAAUAAUCAGUAUUCAGGUGGCAACUCAUUAGAAAGUCAUUGCAGUGGAAAAUCCAUAAGCAUUAUUAUAAAUACAAAAAUAUGAGGCUGAUUUUGUUUCUACUUUUGUUAAUAAACAUUUAUGAAAAGGCUUUCUUAUUGUGUGUUUGUAACAGGAAAAAAAAAAGAUUGGUGUACACAAAAAAUAAAUAACACCAAUAAUGUUAAAAACAAAACAAAUGUCAGAUGUUUUUGAUUAAAUACAUUGCCUGCACUAACGUAUAAUUUCACUUUUUUUGUUUGGCACACCUCACACACUGUUACUUUUUCCUGGAGGUAAUCAAUUUAUACAACAGUUCAGAAAAUAGUGGUUGUAACUUAAGUGCUCUGGAGAAAGAUUUUAUACACUGUGCAUGUGUUUACUCGAGAUCACAGUACACAGCUUUAUGAAAUACAGUUCCCACAAAAAGCUUCCCCUCGUAGACGGCGGCCACGGAAGACGCCUGUAUCACUGAGCCGUUGUUCACAUAUACUUGGGUCACUAUAGGAUUGUCAGAAUGAAUGUUCUGCACACGGACAACCUACAAUGGGAAAACAUUUAAACAUUAGUUAGACACCAAGUUCACCUAUUGUAAUGGAAUAUCUGAGAAAGGUGUUUUAUCCAGCUUUUGAAGAUC